Long non-coding RNA from Myodes glareolus (Bank vole), 922 nucleotides. RefSeq lists it as uncharacterized. The record is from RefSeq and is a predicted model, not a curated record. NCBI's taxonomy places the organism in Eukaryota, Metazoa, Chordata, Mammalia, Rodentia, Cricetidae.
UCAACCUGUUUCUUGCUCUCCGUCAAGUGGCAGACGGGCACUGGCAGAGGGCCAGUCCUGGAGAAAGAGAGCAAGCAUUGCAUGCUUCCUGCUAUCUCAGGCCCUCGGCUUAAUCUGUGUUGGGAGUUUAAUAGAGUGAGGUUACCAGUACAGUAACAGUUUAUGGUGUCACGUGGCUCGGGUGGGGGAGGGGGCAGUGAUCCAGGGAGGUCGCCACACUGCCUGGUCUGGAAAAGGCCACAAGGAAGUUCCGCUGUUGGUCAGAAGGAAUGAGGGCAGCUAGAUCACAGCAGGUAUCUACUGGAGAAGACUACUUACUUGGAUAUGGAUUUAAGCCGGUAGAAAGUCAUUAUUAACUGGCUGGUGACUAUACCUGGUGGUUCCCAGUGUAGCCCUGAACCUUUUUCAGGGUGAACUUGUAAGUACAAAAACUCUGGUUGUGUCAUACCUCAGCAAGAACUGCUAAUCAGAAGGGGAGCUACAGAAGCCAAAAGCAAGAACAAAGUAAGUUUAUGCAGGGUGAUGGUGACUGUAGCUGGGUGUUGUGGAGCAGACUGAAGCACCACUACACUCUCAACUUCUGAUGAACCCAGCUGCCACAUGGGAAGGUCCCACCCAUCACCUGCCUCUGAUGUGGGAUGCAGCCUUUAACUUAGUGCUGACCAGAGAAAUGGGACUGCAUUGCCACUGCGUCUUCCAGCCGAGUAAACUCAGAAAUUGACUGUCCAGCUUCAAAAGGCACUGGAUUUGGGUUGAUGUUGGGCGCAAACCCUUUUUGUUUCUAAAGAUGGUAUCUGGCUUUUCUCAACCACUGUAAUUUGAUGUGGCAAGACUGUCAUCUCAGAGUCUACAUUAUAGCAGCUGCUUUUUGUCACAUGGUUCUUCUUUGAAGUCUGAGAUCAGAAACCACAUCACUGUGGAA